RNAcentral lists this ribosomal RNA (253 nucleotides) under uncultured bacterium. RNAcentral's name for it is "partial 16S ribosomal RNA". It matches the Rfam family "Bacterial small subunit ribosomal RNA", at positions 524 to 776 of the family's 1533-position model. The record is from RNAcentral.
UACGUAGGGUGCAAGCGUUGUUCGGAAUCACUGGGCGUAAAGCGCACGUAGGCGGAUGUGUCAGUCAGGGGUGAAAUCCCGGAGCUCAACUUCGGAACUGCCUUUGAUACAGCACGUCUUGAGUCCGAUAGAGGUGGGUGGAAUUCCUAGUGUAGAGGUGAAAUUCGUAGAUAUUAGGAAGAACACCGGUGGCGAAGGCGGCCCACUGGAUCGGUACUGACGCUGAGGUGCGAAAGCGUGGGGAGCAAACAGG